CAAACACUGACUUAGCAGUUAAAGUAAUAAUAAUAAAUAAAAUAAUAGUGUGGUUCAAAGUAUGACGUGAUACAUAAGUACAGAGUCACGUAAAAUGGUAGACUAAUAUGUCUAGGUGAGCCAUCAAUCUUUCGUUUGUGCAUUGGGGUCUAUUAAGGGGUAUUUUGAGGGGUAGAAAGAAGGGAGGGGUUUACUAUAGAACCCUAUGGGAUUUUAUUUUCUAAAAUUUUCAAAUGAAUAUAACUUGAAAACUGUAAGUGAUAGAUACAUGCAGUCUUCAGAAAUGAUUAUAGGACAAUAAAACAAAUCACAUGAAAUAUAGGGGGAGUCCCUGGGAGUUCAUCCCAACCCCCUUCAAUUUGAGAAUAUGAUUAUAUCUUGUAACCGAUCCAGAUCCCCACCCCUAAACCAUAUAUAUUCCUGAUUGGGACAAUAAAACAAAUCAAAUGCAAUUAAAGGGAGGUCCCCGGGGGUCAUCCCCACCCCGUUCAAUUUCAUAAUGUGCUAUUAUCUUGUAAACGGUCCAGAUCCCCACCCUAAACCAUAUAUAUUCUUGUAGGGGACAAUAAAACAAAUGAAAUGAAAUUAAAGGAAGUCCCUAGGGGGUCACCCACCCCC
RNAcentral lists this long non-coding RNA (618 nucleotides) under Mytilus galloprovincialis (Mediterranean mussel). The record is from RNAcentral. Lineage: Eukaryota; Metazoa; Mollusca; Bivalvia; Mytilida; Mytilidae.